This is a small nucleolar RNA of Bufo bufo (common toad), 84 nucleotides long. Lineage: Eukaryota; Metazoa; Chordata; Amphibia; Anura; Bufonidae. The record is from RefSeq and is a predicted model, not a curated record.
CCUCUGUGAUGUUCCAAUAGAUCCUGCCGAUCCUUUACCAUGUACUCAAUAGGAAGGAAGUGAAGAGAGCUAUAUACUGAGGGG